RNAcentral lists this small nucleolar RNA (176 nucleotides) under Neurospora crassa. Its description in RNAcentral is "box H/ACA snoRNA ACA11". Lineage: Eukaryota; Fungi; Ascomycota; Sordariomycetes; Sordariales; Sordariaceae. The record is from RNAcentral.
ACAAUGUCCACGGCAUUCCUAUUAGAGUCUCGGAACAAGACCAUCAUUUCUUGUUCAGGCCCAUGAGGUCUCUCGCGUGCUCAAGGAUCGCCCAGAGGAAUACCGCACUUUCCGUUUAAGUUACCUAACACCUUCACGGGCGUUUAGGUGGACAUAUCUGGACAAGUGAUACAUUU